ACCCGCACAAGCGGUGGAGCAUGUGGUUUAAUUCGACGAUACGCGAAGAACCUUACCUGGCCUUGACAUACUAAAAAGCUUUAAGAGAUUAGAGUGUGCUAGCUUGCUAGAAUUUAGAUACAGGUGCUGCACGGCUGUCGUCAGCUCGUGUCGUGAGAUGUUGGGUUAAGUCCCGCAACGAGCGCAACCCUCGUGUUUAGUUGCUAACAGUUCGGCUGAGAACUCUAAACAGACUGCCUACGCAAGUAGGAGGAAGGUGAGGACGACGUCAAGUCAUCAUGGCCCUUACGGCCAGGGCUACACACGUGCUACAAUGGGGUAUACAAAGAGCAGCGAUACGGUGACGUGGAGCAAAUCUAGAAAAUGCCUCUCAGUUCGGAUUGUAGUCUGCAACUCGACUCCAUGAAGUUGGAAUCGCUAGUAAUCGCGCAUCAGCAUGGCGCGGUGAAUACGUUCCCGGGCCUU
Molecule: ribosomal RNA, 465 nt
Filed under: uncultured Arcobacter sp.
Lineage: Bacteria; Pseudomonadati; Campylobacterota; Epsilonproteobacteria; Campylobacterales; Arcobacteraceae
Description: bacterial SSU rRNA
Rfam family: Bacterial small subunit ribosomal RNA
Source: RNAcentral